GCUGUGGCACUAUCGUCGUGGGGAACAGGAAGUUCCGGGUAGAAAACGACAGAACUAUGCUGUUAUGUCGUUAGUGGUUGUGUCCGAUUCAACUGUAUUAUUGUAGGCCGACUCCGAUUAAGUCUGAGGCCAUUAACAUAAACAGUGAGGACAAACCUACUGGGUCCUGAUUGUGAUAGUGGGGCCCAGUUUGCACUGCAGGAUCCAGAGAUGGCAUCAGGGAAGCUGGAAGACUGCAGUCAAACACUGGAACUGAAUGUCAUCAUUAAAGAUGAAGAAGAGGAGGAGGAGAUUGGAGACCAUGUUGAGACAUUCUCUACAUCCAGAGAGCAACAGCAGGAAGAUCACAGAGCUAAGAGGUCUCACCACUGCCCACAUUGUGAGGAGAUUUUCCCAAUUCUAUCAAAGCUAAAAAUACACCUAAAAAUACACACAGGAGAAAAGCCUUACUCCUGCUCUGACUGUGGGGGGAGAUUCUCCCGAUUGGAUACCUUAAAAUGUCACCAACGAAUACAUACAGGAGAGAAGCCUUACUCCUGCUUUGACUGUGGUAAAUGCUUUAAAACAUCAACUGAGCUAAAAUCUCAUCAGCGAAGACACACAGGAGAGAAGCCUUACUCCUGCUCUGAUUGUGGGGAGAGUUUCUCCAGAUUGGAUACCUUAAAAUGUCACCAACAAAUGCAUACAGGAGUGAAGCCCUACUCUUGCUCUGAAUGUGGAAAGAGUUUCUCUCAACAGGGCAACUUAAAAACACACCAACGUAUACAUAAAGGAGAGAAGCCUUACUCCUGCUUUGACUGUGGGAAAGGCUUUAAAACAUCAACUGAGCUAAAAUCUCAUCAGAGAACUCACACAGGGGAGAAGCCUCACUACUGCUCUGACUGUGGGGCGAGUUUCUCUCAAUUGAGCAAUUUAAGAAGACACCAACGUAUACAUAAAGGAGAGAAGCCUUACUACUGCUCUGACUGUGGGACAAGUUUCUCUCAAUUGAGCAACUUAAAAACACACCAACGUAUACAUAAAGGAGAGAAGUCCUCUCAGACCAGCUAAGAUUAAAGUCACUCCAUCACUUAAUUCUCAUUUGAUAAAAGAAGUGGUAAAAGUGAAUUGGAUCAAAUUAGGAAAGCGUAGAACACUCUAUUGUAAUCCAGUUGUUUCUCACUGGGAGAACCGUGCAGAGGAAAGGGAGCGUUAUAGAAUGUUAGCCUCUCUUUACUUUACUGAUCAGUGUGCACCUGGUCAGUUUUGGUGUGUUUUGUUAGAUUCUACUGUAAACAUAUUGAGAUUACCUGGAUUUUCCCUUAGCGUUGAAAACCCUCUGAGGGAUCACUUGUUAAAACAAUGGAGUGUGAUGGUUGACUGGGUGGUACGGCUUCCUUCUGCAGUUUUCUGUGGGAAUGAGCUGGUAAUCACAACAUGUAUCAGAUAGAGAUGGUGUGAUGAUCAGCUUUCACCACUAGUUUGGGUAUAUUAUUUUUGCUUUUAAUCAACUUUGUUUGUUUGAAACAUCUACACUGGAAACAAUAUAUAUAAAUGCAACAUGUGAAGUGUUUGUCACAUGUUUCAAGACCAGAAAUGUUCCAUCUGCACAAAAAGUGUAUUUCUCUCAAAUUCUGUGCUCAAAUUUGUUUCCAUCCCUGUUAGUUAGCAUUUUUUCUUUGCCAAUAUAAUCCAUCCAUCUGACAGGUGUGGCAAAUCAAGAAGCUGAUUAAACAGCAUGAUCAUUACACAGGUGAACCUUGUGCUGGGGGCAAUAAAAUGUGCAGUUUUGUCACACAACCCAGUGCCACAGAUGUCUCAUGUUUUAAGGGAAUGUGCAAUUGGCAUUCUGUCUGCAGGAAUACCCACCAGAGCUGUUGCCAGACGAUUUAAGGUUCAUUUCCCUACAAUAAGCUGCCUCCAACAUUGUUUUAGCGAAUUUGGCAGUACCUCCAACCGGCCUCAACCGCAGACCAUAUGUAUGGUGUUGUGUGGGCGAGCGGUUUGCUGAUGUGAAUGUUGUGAACAGAGUGCCCCAUGGUGGCAGUGAGGUUACGGUAUUGUUAGGCAUAAACUACGGACAACAAACACAAUUUUUGUGCCAUUCAUCCGCCGCCAUCACCUCAUGUUUCAGCAUGAUAAUGCAGCUUUGUGAGGCUCAUUUGAACUUGUUGAAUUUCUGGGAUCAUUUAUUUCAGCUUCAUGAAACAACACUUUACGUUGUGUUUAUAUUUUGUAGAUUUGUUAUUUUAGUCAUUGAUAAUAAAUGUAUUUGGAUAACUGUAGUGAACUUGAUUGAUCUACUAAUGAAAAAUAAAUGUUCUACAUUAA
Salvelinus fontinalis (brook trout) is the source of this 2310-nucleotide long non-coding RNA. RefSeq lists it as uncharacterized. The record is from RefSeq and is a predicted model, not a curated record. The transcript is spliced from 3 exons. Lineage: Eukaryota; Metazoa; Chordata; Actinopteri; Salmoniformes; Salmonidae.